This 301-nucleotide ribosomal RNA is filed under the name uncultured bacterium. RNAcentral describes it as "partial 16S ribosomal RNA". It matches the Rfam family "Bacterial small subunit ribosomal RNA", at positions 509 to 807 of the family's 1533-position model. The record is from RNAcentral.
CAGUCGCCACGGGAAUACGGAGGGGGCUAGCGUUGUUCGGAAUUACUGGGCGUAAAGCGCACGUAGGCGGCUUCUUAAGUCGGAUGUGAAAUCCCUGAGCUUAACUUAGGAAUUGCAUUCGAUACUGGGAAGCUAGAGUAUGGGAGAGGAUGGUAGAAUUCCAGGUGUAGCGGUGAAAUGCGUAGAGAUCUGGAGGAAUACCGAUGGCGAAGGCAGCCAUCUGGCCUAAUACUGACGCUGAGGUACGAAAGCAUGGGGAGCAAACAGGAUUAGAUACCCCCGUAGUCCCUGUCUCUUAUAC